UCAGACGAUGCGUCAUGCAUAUCAAUAAGCGGAGGAAAAGAAACUAACAAGGAUUCCCCUAGUAACGGCGAGUGAAGCGGGAAGAGCUCAAAUUUGAAAUCUUAAAGGGUUUCCCUUUACGAAUUGUAGUUUGAAGAAGUGUUUUCUGUUGAGGUUUUGGUAAAAGUUCUUUGGAAUAGGACAUCAUAGAGGGUGAGAAUCCCGUAUUUGACCUUUACUUUCAACUUUGUGAUACACUUUCAAAGAGUCGGAUUGUUUGGGAAUGCAGUCCAAAAUGGGUGGUAAAUUUCAUCUAAAGCUAAAUAUUGGCGAGAGACCGAUAGCGAACAAGUACCGUGAGGGAAAGAUGAAAAGAACUUUGAAAAGAGAGUUAAACAGUACGUGAAAUUGUCAAAAGGGAAGCGUUUGACACCAGUGUUGUUUUUCUGAAAAUCAAUUAAAGAACUGUUUAUGCUAAGCUGUUUAGACUUUAUCAGCUAUCUGUUUAGUUUUGAGCUUUUCUUUAAUGCACUUUUCAGUUAACAAGUCAACAUCAAUUUCUUUUGCUGUAAAAAAGCUUGAGGAAGGUGGCUUGAGAUUCGUCUUAAGUGUUUAUAGCCUCUUGCCUAUGCAGUCGGAGAGAUUGAGGUCUGCAGCGUAGAUCCUUCGGGGCUAAAUGCAUUUGUGCUAAGUUAUAGCAUUUUAUAGACAACUUGUUGACUAUGAUUUGUCUUGUAGCUUACUCGCUUAUGUUAUUUUACCUACGCUUAGGAUGUUGACACACGCGCGUGCUCG
Molecule: ribosomal RNA, 774 nt
Filed under: uncultured Neocallimastigales
Lineage: Eukaryota; Fungi; Neocallimastigomycota; Neocallimastigomycetes; Neocallimastigales
Description: partial large subunit ribosomal RNA
Rfam family: Eukaryotic large subunit ribosomal RNA
Source: RNAcentral